This 10762-nucleotide long non-coding RNA is filed under the name Erythranthe guttata (spotted monkey flower). RNAcentral describes it as "long non-coding RNA (EGUT_LNC003601)". The record is from RNAcentral. Lineage: Eukaryota; Viridiplantae; Streptophyta; Magnoliopsida; Lamiales; Phrymaceae.
UUUGUCGUUUUCCUGAGUUUCGUCUGACUCGGGUUUGACCUCAAAAUUCUGCUGUGGUGGUGAUGGUGGUGGUUCUUCAGGAUCUGCUUUGUCGUGGUGGAACUUGACGACAAUGCAGGUGAUAUUGUCGGCACUACCACGACCAAAAGCAGUCUCCGUCAGCUUACAAGCAGCUCCUUUUUCUGUUUGCGCUAUCUGAACGGCAUCCUGAAAUAAAUGUGUACAGUAGCAUUACAAAAAUAGUUCGUUUUCUUCGUCGUAUUUCGGAUAAGAUUUUCCCUUAUUUGGCCUUAUUUGGGAAUGUCGAUGUAUUUAUGAUUAUCUUAAGUUUAAGAUUAAGAUAUAUUAUUAUACAAUUCUUGUAUCGGCUAAUAUCCUACGUUGGAUAAACAAUUCCGAAAAGGAACUUACGAAGUCAGUUCAUAAACGAAAAAGUAGUGAUAAUCAUCUAAAAGGCUUUACCUCAUUAGGUACGACAUCCCAAAGGCCAUCACUGGCGAGCACAACCAAUUCAUAGUCCUGGUCAACCUCUUGGUCCUGUAGUAUCGAAACAAUAAAAUUUGUGUCUGUUGUGAACACUGUUUUUAGGCCAAACCAUGACCAACUUUGGAUUACAAUGGAAAAACAAAAAUUCUAUUAAAAAUUCCCGAGUACCUGAAUCUCGGGUUCAGCCACAACAAAUUGCUUCAGCAUGCGUAGCCAAAAGCACGAGACAUAGCCAAAACACCUCCGACCCUCCAAGUUCCUGAUAAGAAAGCAAUAACAUAAUGUCAACACUAUUUCCAAGCACUCGCGAUUUUUUUUUUAAUAAAUAAAUUUGAAUUUGACGUUAUAACUUUCUACAGACAAGGCAUAGAUUAUCAUAAAUAUUUUACCUAAAAUUAACAUCACUUCUCUUUUCACCACACAUCUCAAUCAAGAAUAACCAAUCUCUCACGUGGCGUAGAUAAAAGUACAAAAGAAUUAACAUAUAUAGCUGACGAAGAUCAAUUAGUCCACAAAUGAGGUCCCAUAUCUGUGUAUUCAGUUAAGUCUUUGAUCCAGAUCCAGAUGUAGCUCCAAAGCUACCAAAUCCAUGUGCAGCGUUAUGGUUAAUGCCAGGAAAACCAUACGUUGUUGCUCCAGUUCCAGCUGUAGUUGCAAAGCCGCCAAACCCCUGUGGAAUAUUACGAUUCAUGCCAGGAAAAUCGUAAAUAUUCGAUCCAGACACACUUGCAGAUCCCUGUGCCAUAUUACUGUUCAUUCCGGAACUGUCACUAGCAACAUCUACUUUUGCUUUCUUAGGACAUGGAUCAGAUGUUGGGGCCGGACGACUUCUUCGCUUCUUAUCCCUUGGAAGCUGGCUUAUCACAACAAAAGUGGGUCCUCUUGACGCCACAGAAGGAGCCGGAUCUUCAGCAUUUUGAGUGGUUGGAUUUUCAGACGGCUUCUUCUUUGCCUGAUAAGGCACAGGCUUGCAGUUUUUGGAAAAACGCGGUUGAGCCAUCUCUAAAGCCAUAAAUGGCUUCUUACAGCUUGGACAGCGGAGAAUAUUGUUGAGAUACAUCCGGAGGUACUCGUACUGCAUGUUGCAGAGAUUACAUAUUGUCCAAAAUGUAUCACCAUUUUUCUUGUAGAGUGGAGUGGGAGCUGGUCUUGAUGGCACCUUGGCACUCUUCUUCUGUGCCUUUGGAACUGCAGUUCUUGCUCCAGGUGGUGCUGACGAGCCACUGGGAUAUGCUGAUGGGCCGCUGGUAUAUGCUGGCGGGACAGAGGUGUGAGCUGGUGGACGACCAGCGGUGCGUGCCGACGGACCGACACCUGGUUGUGCUGGUGGUUGGCCGCCAGUGGAUGCCGAUGGACUAGCACCUGUGUAAACUUGUGGACGAAAGCCAGUGUGUGCAGAUGGAGCACCACCGGUGCGCGCUGAUGGAGCACCGCUAGUGCGUGGUGCUGAUGGAGCGCCGCCAGUGUGUGCUGAUGGAGCACCGCUAGUGCGUGGUGCUGAUGGAGCACAACCAGUGUGGGCUGAUGGAGCACCGCUAGCGCAGGGUGCUGAUGGUGCACAACCAGUGUGCGCUGAAGGUGCACCGCCAGUGUGUGCCGGAAUUCUCUGUUGGAAUCCGAUAAUUCCUCUUCGUUGGUUGUAGGCCAACCUUCUCUCCUCGUCCAACAACAACUUCCAGGCCUCAGAAAUAAGUUUGAAGGCACCAUCUGCACCGAUAGAGCUGUUCUUGUCCGGGUGCAGCAGAAGAGCCAAUCUCCUGAACUGUUUCUUUAUUGUGUUCUCGUCGGCAGAGGGGCUCACAGCGAGCACUCCAUACCAAUCCGUUUCCCCGUUAAUUUUGUUUUCUGCUGAAAUGUACACAUCGAGUGUCAUCAGCAGCUGGGAAAUACCAUCCAAGCCUGGGUACAGAUUUUGUGCUUUCAAGGCAAACUUUUUUGCACUAAAAAAGUCCCUCUGCUCCAACUUCGCCUCUGCGAUAGAUUUUGCCCUCAUCGCUUCAUCUCUAUUGCACUCCAUAUUCGACGCUUCACUAGAUUAUCGACGGUACUCUUGGUAUGGCAAUACAACAGCAGAAGUGCACCCACUGAUAGCUCACUAGAAACACGAAAAUAUUGCACUGAUAUAGGUAAAGAUCUCCACAAAACAGCAAUCCUUUUAAUACUUAAUUGCGCCAAGGACCUAAUUUAUGAUAGAAAAGAUAAAUGAAGUCAGUUCUAUAAUGACAGAAAAAUGCAAUGGAGGAAACAAAAGAAAUGAAAUCAACGGAAAUACAACAAGUAUUCAUGGAGCAGUCUAAACUUUUAAGUACUGAUACAAAAUAUAUAUAUCAUCUUGACAAAAUUGAUCACCCAUGCAAAACAGCGUGAAACAUGAGCAGAAAUUAAGGGAUCAUGAUUUCGACGUGCAAAAUAUAAAAAACCCCAAAGUUCCAUCAAAUAAUAAACAUUAAGUUAGACAAGAUCGAACUAUAAGUUGAUUGGACUAAAACCCGAAAUUUUCAGAAGAAACACUGAAAUAUAUAAACACAUUUAACCAAGUACUGAACCCCUCAAAUCUGCAAUUGAACAACAGAUGGUUCAAUUUGGUGAUAUUAUGUUUCGCUAAAGCUUAGUGGUUCGGAUCAUACUUGAAAGUAAGAAAGUAAUUUUGGGAAAUAAAAUUGUAAUUUUAGGAAUGGGGCGUAAUUCAAAGGCGUUCGGAAAAAGAAAUAAAAGUAUUCAAAUCUGAGAUGGAUCGGAAAUCUCUCAUUUACUUCCAUCUGUUUACACUUUACAUAAAUUUAGAGUGUUAAUAAUUAUUUGCGUGCCGAUUAGGAUCGACAGAAAGGUUAAAAAUGGAGCUUUUCUGAACACGUGUUAAUAACGGUCGAUCCGUUAAAACAGUAACCUGUUUCGGACACGUGUUGAUAACGGUCGACUCGAAAAGUUUAAAAAAUUUACCCGCGAAAUCAAUCAAGUUUACAAGCAAAUGAAAAUUCCGAUAACCUAUUUCGGACACGUGUUGAAAACGGUCGACUCAAACAGUUAGAAAAAAUUACCCGCGAAAUCAAUCAAGUUUACGAGCAAAUGAAAAUUCCAAGUUAAGAUGUAAAACAUCUGCAUGAACAUGAAACCAGUCAGCCUUUAGCUGCUUAUUAGUUUUUCCAAGCACACCCAAGUUCAAUUUUAAAAUCAUUUAACACCAAAUUCGAUAUUCAGAAAAAAUGCAUGAAAUUGAAGAAACAGUCUGCAAAUGAUUAUUUGAGCACAGAUUACACAGAAAAACCACAUUACACCAGAUCAGUAAAUUAUCAGGCGAAAACCCUAAUCACAGCACAACCUUCGUCUCAACAGCAGUAAAUGAUAAAAAAAUUAAAAAGAAAAAAAAACAAUGAUUCAAGCAAUCACAACGAGUACAAAUCUGUGCAAAAUUAUAGUUAAACCCCUAAAUGUAAAAUAAAACAAAAACAGAACCCAAAUUCAGAGAACACAGAAACCUAAUCAUGGAUCUGUAUGCUGAAAAGUGAAAAGACGACAGAAAAAAAAAUUAAAAAAAAAUCAAUUUCACUCAAAAUCAAAAUUCAGAAUUGAAGAUUACAAAUUCCACGUAGAAAACAAAAAAAAAAAGGACAAGGAGAGAAGAGAUGAAUUACUGAUAAAAUUGAGGAGUUUGAAUCGGCGGGUGUUUGAACCGGUUGGGGUUUUAUCUAUCUAUCUUUCCCACCAAAUUGAAACAAGAAACCUGAAAAAGUGCACAAAAUGUAUAUGCAAUUGAGAAAAUUGAUAGUGACUAUUGCAGGGUUUCAUCUCAUGUUUCUUAUAUAAUAAAAAAAAAAAUCGGGUUAACCCUAACUAGAGUUGGAUUUAACCAUGGUUAAUAAUUAGAUUUUAAACAAUAGUUACUUUUUAAAUGCUUAAAAUUCAUGCAUUGUUACACCUGUUGGAUUUCAACAUUUAUCGUCAUUUAUUACCUACAUCUGUCAGGAAUAUAAUGAAUUUAAUUUUUUUUCGAGGUCCUCGAUUUUCUUUGUUGUCAGUUGUAAUGCAUUUACUAUUUUUGUCUCGUAUAAUUAAUUUUCUUUUUCGAAAAUAUUAUUAAUUUUCUUUUUAUACUACUAAAGCAAAAUCUACUUCAAUCCCAUUUAAUUAAAAGGUUUAUCAAGCAAAAUAUAUAACAAGAUCACAGGCUACUACAAUCUAGAUAUUUUAUAUUAGUGUUUGAUUCCAUUGCAAUUUAUUUUUUUGUUUUUUUAUAAUUUAUAUUUUAGUUAGUCAUUUGUAGUUGUCACUUUUGAGUUUUGAAUAUUGGUAAGCGCGGGAGAAAAGCAAAGACAAUGUUACACUUGGUCAACCAUUGUGUUAAAUUACUAUAAUAGCCCUUGACUUUAUUGAGUAUGACUUGACUGGCAUAAUCCGGUUAUAUUUCAUUCCAAAAGCAACUCAGGAAAUAAAGCAAAUGGAACGACACCGUAUUAAUGGCUGCAAAAGAAAAUCAAAAAUCAAAAUCCGAGUACCACCGAGUCUCCACCGAGUUCAUUUUGGCAACGAGUCAAUGACCAAAAACGCCAGUUCUUUAUUAAAAUAAAAAUUACACCAACUUACCAAAAAAAUAAAAUUAAAAGAACACCACCUCCAGUACAUUUGAAUUACAAAGACAGAAAUACAAGAAACAAACCAAUGAAUGAACAAAUCACAACCACCGACAGCAUACGGGCAUAAUGCAGAUCAUGCAGAUUUAUGCUUCGGAGAAUUCAUCAACUUUGAUGGGUUGUAUGGGGCUCUUCUUUCGAAGUUUGCUGGCAUUCUUCGGGCGGAGAGUUUGCUUUGUCGUUUUCCUCAGUUUCUUCUGACUCGGGUUUGACCUCAAAAUUCUGCUGUGGUGGUGAUGGUGGUGGUUCUUCAGGAUCUGCUUUGUCGUGGUGGAACUUGACGACAAUGCAGGUGAUAUUGUCGGCACUACCACGACCAAAAGCAGUCUCCGUCAGUUUACGAGCAGCUCCUUUUUCUGUUUGCGCUAUCUGAACGGCAUCCUGAAAUAAAUGUGUACAGUAGCAUUACAAAAAUAGUUCGUUUUCUUCGUCGUAUUUCGGAUAAGAUUUUCCCUUAUUUGGGAAUGUCGAUGUAUUUAUGAUUAUUAAGUUUAAGAUUGAGAUAUAUUAUUAUACGAUUCUUGUAUCGGCUAAUAUCCUACGUUGGAUAAACAAUUCCGAAAAGGAACUUACGAAGUCAGUUCAUAAACGAAAAAGUAGUGAUAAUCAUCUAAAAGGCUUUACCUCAUUACGUACGACAUCCCAAAGGCCAUCACUGGCGAGCACAACCAAUUCAUAGUCCUGGUCAACCUCUUGGUCCUGUAGUAUGGAAACAAUAAAAUUUGUGUCUGUUGUGAACACUGUUUUUAGGCCAAACCAUGACCAACUUUGGAUUACAAUGGAAAAACAAAAAUUCUAUUAAAAAUUCCCGAGUACCUGAAUCUCGGGUUCAGCCACAACAAAUUGCUUCAGCAUGCGUAGCCAAAAGCGCGAGACAUAGCCAAAACACCUCCGACCCUCCAAGUUCCUGAUAAGAAAGCAAUAACAUAAUGUCAACACUACUUCCAAGCACUCGCGAUUUUUUUUUUUAAUAAAUAAAUUUGAAUUUGACGUUAUAACUUUCUACAGACAAGGCAUAGAUUAUCAUAAAUAUUUUACCUAAAAAUAACCUCUCUUCUCUUUUCACCACACAUCUCAAUCAAGAAUAACCAAUCUCUCAUGUGGCGAAGAUAAAAGUACAAAAGAAUUAACAUAUAUAGCUGACGAAGAUCAAUUAGUCCACAAAUGAGGUCCCAUAUCUGUGUAUUCAGUUAAGUCUUUGAUCCAGAUCCAGAUGUAGCCACAAAGCUACCAAAUCCAUGUGCAGCGUUAUGGUUAAUGCCAGGAAAACCAUACGUUGUUGCUCCAGUUCCAGCUGUAGUUGCAAAGCCGCCAAACCCCUGUGGAAUAUUACGAUUCAUGCCAGGAAAAUCGUAAAUAUUCGAUCCAGACACACUUGCAGAUCCCUGUGCCAUAUUACUGUUCAUUCCGGAACUGUCACUAGCAACAUCUACUUUUGCUUUCUUAGGACAUGGAUCAGAUGAUGGGGCCGGACGACUUCUUCGCUUCUUAUCGCUUGGAAGCUGGCUUAUCACAACAAAAGUGGGUUCUCUUGACGCCACAGAAGGAGCCGGAUCUUCAGCAUUUUGAGUGGUUGAAUUACCAGACGGCUUCUUCUUUGCCUGAUAAGGCACAGGCUUGCAUUUUUUGGAAAAACGAGGUUGAGCCAUCUCUAACGCCAUAAAUGGCUUCUUACAGCUUGGACAGCGGAGAAUAUUGUUCAGAUACAUCCGGAGGUACUCGUACUGCAUGUUGCAGAGAUUACAUAUUGUCCAGAAAGUAUCACUGUUUUUCUUGUAGAGUGGAGUAGGAGCUGGUUUUGAGGGCACCUUGGCAGUCUUCUUCUGUGCCUUCGGGACUGUAGUUCUUGCUCCAGGUGGUGCUGACGAGCUGCUGGAAUAUGCUGAUGGGCCGCUGGUAUAUGCUGGCGGGACAGAGGUGUGAGCUGGGGGGCGACCAGCGGGGCGUGCCGACGGACCGACACCUGGUUGUGCUGGUGGAUGGUCGCCAGUGCAUGCCGAUGGACUAGCACCUGUGUAAACUUGUGGACGAAAGCCAGUGUGUGCAGAUGGAGCACCACCAGUGUGCGAUGAUGGAGCACCGCUAGUGCAUGGUGCUGAUGAAGCGCCACCAGUGUGCGCUGAUGGAGCACCGCUAGUGCCUGGUGCUGAUGGAGCACAACCAGCGUGCGCUGAUGGAGCACCGGUAGUGCAGGGUGUUGAUGGUGCACAACUAGUGUGCGCUGAAGGUGCACCGCCAGUGUGUGCCGGAAUUCUCUGCUGGAAUCCGAUAAUUCCUCUUCGUUGGUUGUAGGCCAACCUUCUGUCCUCGUCCAACAGCAACUUCCAGGCCUCGGAGAUAAGCUUGAACGCACCAUCUGCACCGAUAGAGCUGUUCUUGUCCGGGUGCAGCAGAAGAGCCAAUCUCCUGAACUGUUUCUUUAUCGUGUUCUCGUCGGCAGAAGGGCUCACAGCUAGCACUCCAUACCAAUCCGUUUCCCCGUUAAUUUUGUUUUCUGCUGAAAUGUACACAUCGAGUGUCAUCAGCAGCUGGGAAAUACCAUCCAAGCCUGGGUACAGAUUUUGUGCUUUCAAGGCGAACUUUUUUGCACUAAAAAAGUCCCUCUGCUCCAACUUCGCCUCUGCGAUAGAUUUUGCCCUCAUCGCUUCAUCUCUAUUGCACUCCAUAUUCGACGCUUCACUAGAUUAUCGACGGUACUCUUGAUAUGGCAAUACAACAGCAGAAGUGCACCCACUGAUAGCUCACUAGAAACACGAAAAAAUUGCACUGAUAUAGGUAACGAUCUCCACAAAACAGCGAACCGUUUAAUAUUUAAUUGCGCCAAGUACCUAUGUUAUGACAGAAAAGAUAAAUGAAGUUAGUUCUAUAAUGACAGAAAUACAAUGCAAUGGAGGAAACAAAAGAAAUGAAAUCCACGGAAAUACAACAAGUAUUCAUGGAGCAGUCGAAACUUUUAAGUAUUGAUACAAAAUAUAGAUAUAUCAUCUAGACAAAAUUGAUCACCCAAGCAAAACAACGUGAAACAUGAGCAGAAAUCAAGGGAUCAUGAUUUCGACGUGCAAAAUAUAAAGACCCCCAAAGUUCCAUCAAAUAAUAAACAUUAAGUUAGACAAGAUCGAAAUACAAGUUGAUUGAACUAAAACCCGAAAUUUCCAUAAGAAACACUAAAAUAUAGAAACACAUUUAACCCAGUACUGAACCCUCAAAUCUACAAUUGAACAACUCAACCUACAACAGAUGGUUCAAUUUGGUGACAUUAUGUUUCGCUAAAGCUUAGGGUUCGGAUCAUAUUUGAAAGUAAUUUUGGGAAAUAAAACUGUACUUUUUAGGAAUGGGGCGUAAUUCAAAGGCUUUCGGAAAAGGAAAUAAAAGUAUUCAAAUCUGAGAUGGAUCGGAAAUUUCUCAUUUACUUCCAUCAUUUUACGCUUACAUAAAUUCAGAGAAUUAAUUAUGUGCGUGCCGAUUAGGAUUGACAGAAAUGUUUUAAAAUGGAGCUUUUCUGAACACGUGUUCAUAACGGUCGAUCCGUUAAAACAGUAACCUGUUUCGGACACGUGUUGAUAACGGUCGACUCGAACAGUUUAAAAAUUUUACCCGCGAAAUCAAUCAAGUUUACAAGCAAAUGAAAAUUCCGAUAACCUGUUUCGAACACGUGUUGAUAACGGUCGACUCAAACAGUUAAAAAAAAAUUACCCGCGAAAUCAGCCAAGUUUACGAGCAAAUGAAAAUUCCAAGUUAAGAUGUAAAACAUCUGCAUGAACAUGAAACCACACAGUCUUUAGCUGCUUAUUCUUUUUUCAAAACACACCCAAGUUCAAUUUUAAAAUCAUUUAACUCCAAAUUCAAUAUUCAAAAGAAAUUGAUGAAAUUGAAGAAACAUUCUGCAAAUGAUUAUUUGAGCGCAACUUACACAGAAAAACCACAUUACACCAGAUCAAUAAAUUAUCAGGCGAAAACCCUAAUCACAGCACAACCUUCGUCUCAACAGCAGUAAAUGAUAAAAAACCUUCAAAAAAAAAAAAAACAAUGAUUCAAGCAAUCACAACGAGUACAAAUCUGUGCAAAAUUAUAGUUAAACCCCUAAAUGUAAAAUAAAACGAAAACAGAACACAUAAAGCUAACCAUGGAUCUGUAUGCUGAAAACACGACAGGAAAAAAAAAAUCAAUUUCACUCAAAAUCAAAAUUCAGAAUUGAAGAUUACAAAUUCCACGUAGAAAACAAAAAAUAAAAGGAAAAGGAGAGAAGAAGAGAUGAAUUACUGAUAAAAUUGAGGAGUUUGAAUCGGCGGGUGUUUGAGCUGGUUGGGGUUUUAUCUAUCUAUCUUUUCCACCAAAUUGAAAUAAGAAACCUGAAAAAGUGCACAAAAUGUAUAUGCAAUUGAGAAAAUUGGUAGUGACUAUUGCAGGGUUUCAUCUCAUGUUUCUUAUAUAAUAAAAAAAAAAAAAUCGGGUUAACCCUAACUAGAGUUGGAUUUAACCAUGGUUAAUAAUUGGAUUUUAAACAAUAGUUACUUUUCAAAUGCUUAAAAUUCAUGCAUCUUUACACCUGUUGGAUUUCGCCUUUUAUCGUCAUUUAUUAUGUACAUCUGUCACGAAUAGAACGAAUUUAAUUUUUUUUUUAGGUCCUCGAUUUCCUUUGCUGUCAGUUGUAAUGCAUUUACUAUUUUUGUCUUGUAUAAUUAAUUUUCUUUUUCAAAAAUAUUAUUAAUUUUCUUUUUAUACUACUAAAGCAAAAUCUACUUCAAUCCCAUUUAAUUAAAAGGUUUAUCAAGCAAAAUAUAUAACAAGAUCACAGGCUACUACAAUAUAGAUAUUUCAUAUUAGUGUUUGAUUCCAUUGCAAUUUGAUUUUUUUCUUUUUUUGUUUUGUAAUUUAUAUUUUAGUUAGUCAUUUGUAGUUGUCACUUUUGAAUAUUGGUAAGCGCGGGAGAAAAGCAAAGGCAAUGUUACACUUAGUCAACGAUUGUGUUAGAUUACUAUAAUAGCCCUUGACUUUAUUGAGUAUGACUUGAUUGGCAAAAUCCGGUUAUAUUUCAUUCCAAAAGCAACUCAGGAAAUAAAGCAAAUGAAACGACACCGUAUUAAUGACUGCAAAAGAGAAUCAAAAAUCAAAAUCCGAGUACCACCGAGUCUCCACCGAGUUCAUUUUGGCAACGAGUCAAUGACCAAAAACGCCAGUUCUUUAUUAAAAUAAAAAUUACACCAACUUACCAAAAAAAUAAAAUUAAAAGAACACCACCUCCAGUACAUUUGAAUUACAAAGACAGAAAUACAAGAAACAAACCAAUGAAUGAACAAAUCACAACCACCGACAGCAUACGGGCAUAAUGCAGAUCAUGCAGAUUUAUGCUUCGGAGAGUUCAUCAACUUUGCUGGGUUAUAUGGGGCUCUUCUUUCGAAGUUUGCUGGCAUUCUUCGGGCGGAGAGUCUGCUUUGUCGUUUUCCUCAGUUUCUUCUGACUCGGGUUUGACCUCAAAAUCCUGCUGUGGUGGUGAUGGUGGUGGUUCUUCAGGAUCUGCUUUGUCGUGGUGGAACUUGACGACAAUGCAGGUGAUAUUGUCGGCACUACCACGACCAAAAGCAGUCUCUGUCAGUUUACGAGCAGCUCCUUCUGGAUCUUCUUCUGUUUGAGCUAUCAGAACCGCAUCC